This 450-nucleotide long non-coding RNA is filed under the name Monodelphis domestica (gray short-tailed opossum). RNAcentral describes it as "lncRNA (ENSMODG00000038774.1)". The record is from RNAcentral. Lineage: Eukaryota; Metazoa; Chordata; Mammalia; Didelphimorphia; Didelphidae.
AGAAAAUGAAAACAAAACAAAACACCAAAGUCAUUGCCCCUGAAGCAACUAUAAUUUUCUUUUCUUCUCAGAUGAACCCCACCUUCUCCACCAGCGAAUUUUAGAUUUAUUGGAUUUCUCCUAGCCACCAAGAAAAAUGAAUUUGAAGAGAUUCAACUUCUUACCUUCAAAUUUGAGCUGGCUCCAGCACACUCUUGAAACACACCUGGAGAGAACUCAAGCUAAUGCUAUACAGAAGAGCCAUCCAAGGGAAACUUCCCAAAGACUAGUUCCUUCUUUUUGGCUUUGUCCUGGCAAAAGUCUCCAAACAUCAGGAGUGCUCCACCCAAAAUGUAAUAUGAGGAAAACUUCAGGGGAUGGAACAAAGUAACAGAUGUAAACAACAUUUUCUAAGAACUCUUCUUAUUGACACAGGACAUUGAAUUGGCCAACACAUUUGCCUCGUUAAAG